CCCAAGGAUCCUUGCCGGAACUUAGUCUUCUGUACCCUGUCUGCCUUCAUACCCGCGUCGACAAGCUGUGCGUCUCGUCAGUCAUAGCCUUCUUUGCUUCCCGGACUGCCUCUUCGAUCCUCGACCCCCGCUUGGACACGGAUCUCCUACGCCCUGACCAUCCGACUGCCUUCAUGUCUUGUCCUUCCUCUCGAUCCAACACGAGGUCUCUCAACUCUAUUGACAAGAUCUUCUCGACAAGAAGCGGAGAUUCGGGGGGGUCCUGCCUCUCCUGACGGAACGUUUGCAGUUGGAUACAUGGGGGACUAUUUGGAAAACUGGAGAAUCAUGUGUCUGGCAAUUAUUUCCAUUAAAGAUAUCUAUCUAUUUGAAACUGUGAUAACAGGUUAAAUGCUGGUUGGAUUGAGCGUUGCUCUGGUCUAUCGACAAAUUUGGAAGAUGAUGGCAGUCAUUCAAGGAGCCCAAAGGCUGCCCGUCGUGAUGGAUGGGCUGGGUAGAACUCUCGGCACUCAGACUUUGGCGAUUUCUUAAUUGAAUCGCAAUUUGGAUAACAUCUUGGAGAAACUAUCCAUUUUGCAAGGCAAAAUUCUGAUCAAUUUGAGAGCCAGAACCAAUGACGACAGCAGACAAACCAUUGGAAUGUGUUGGCUAGCCCGAACCGAAACAAUCCUUAUCUACAAUUUGGCUCCCUCUGCAUUGACCAAGGCAGGGUUAUGCCCU
Entelurus aequoreus (snake pipefish) is the source of this 720-nucleotide long non-coding RNA. RefSeq lists it as uncharacterized. The record is from RefSeq and is a predicted model, not a curated record. NCBI's taxonomy places the organism in Eukaryota, Metazoa, Chordata, Actinopteri, Syngnathiformes, Syngnathidae. The transcript has 3 exons.